GCCGGGCGGGGCAGGGGCGGGGCCGGAGCACUCGCCUGGCACCUCCCCGUGUCCCAAGCGCCGCCCCCGCCCCCCCACUUCCUGCCCCGCUACCGCCCGCGAAAGUUGCGGUGGGCGGGGGUUGCGGCGCAGGCCCAGGUCCGGCCGACUUUCUCCAAGGGCGCUCGGACUUUGGGGAGCCCUUCUCCCUGGGGGAGCGACCUCGCCCGUGGAGUGAUGGCCGGGCGUCCCCCCGGGUGCCUUUGGUCCUCCGUGGAGGUCAGGAGGUGGUCCCUGUCGCGCUGGGCGCCCUCGCAUGGCCGUUCGGUAACGACAGACUCGGGAGAGGGCACCGGGCUGGGCCGAAGCUUACUGAGCCCCCUUGGCCCAUCAAGCCGCCCCGGCGGGAUACCCGAGGCUGAGGCUGAAGGCACACGGGCCCAGGACUCCCAGAGCCCUCUUCCUGUCCUCCGCCCUGGCCGGGGGCCCAUAGGAAGACCCCCGACCCUGCAUAAAGGCCAGGAUUCCCCAGCUUUUGGCCAAAGUCCUGGCCACUCGCAGCUGCCCAGCGGGCAGUUCCUGGCGUCCAGGGCGGAAUGCGUGACAUGAGUGAGGGCAGGAAGGUGCUCUCCGGCCCAGGGUCGCAGCCGGCCCCGGUGCUGAUCCGCCCUGAUCUCCCUUCUAGGCCACACCCUGGGUGGUGGGGGCGCGGUCUGUCCAGCUGGCAACGUGUGACGGUAGGAGGGGCUUCAAGGACAAACAGAUUCUGCAACUGAAAUUAUAUGGAUCCUGGCUCAGCUGCCGGGAACCGCGGGUUUUCACUGCUGAUUCACUGGGGGACACCAGGCAAGUCCAAGCCCUUCUCUGAGACUGGCUCAGCCCGGAGGCUGGGGUGCGGUGUCUGAGGGCUCCCACCCUGGACUCCGGUGGAAUCCUGGGCCUGUAUGAGCUGGGGCUGCACUGCAGCCCCCGGACCCCUUACCCCGUGGCUUCCCUGCGCAGGGGCCGGAACGGGGAUGCGAGCGCAGAGAGGGUCCCCUGGGCCCAGGGCCUCCGAUGGGGGUCCUGUCCUGGAAAUUGGUCUCUGCAGAGUCAGACUCACCCCUUCUCCACUGAGGUGGAAGCAGGGGGUCCCAGCUUAGGGUCUGGCCCGUAGAGAGAGGUCAGGAAGGAGCUGGCCCCUGCAGCAGUAAACUCAGGCCAGGUGGCUGGUGAGGCGGGGGCUCAGGUCUCUUGCCCUUCCCCGAGGAAGCAGCAGUGGGCACCUUUAGGGCAAGGGGGAGAGCUUUCCUCACCGAAGCAAGAUGGGGCAGCAGGUGGACCCAUCAGCAUCUCCCUAAGAAAUCAGAAAGCCAGGAGUGAAACCUGAGCGGGGCCCUCCAGCCCCAUCUGAGAGCCUACACUGAUCCCUCCUCCUGCAAAGCCUCAUCCCCUCCUCUCUAGAGCGGGGAGACCCGGCUCCCACUGGACUUGCUUGUGAAGAAUGGACGGAUAAAUUACCCAGAGGCUUCCCACUGUGCUGGGACAGAAAGGGCUCAGAGAGGAAGAAGAGCUACCCACUCUCCCAACCCCUCGCCUGGACCGCCGGCGCAUUGAUGCACUAAAUGUCUCUUUCCCCAGGCAGCCGCCCGCCAACAAUGCCAUGGGUACCUGCUGCCCCCUGGUGGUGCUGUCACCACGGGGCACCUGGCUGCACCCAGGAGGGGCUGCACAGAAAAUCUGGGGUUGACCGUUGAGAAGACCCAACUCAGGAGACACAGACUUCACCACAGUGGCCCUGAGCCACUCAGGCCUCCCUGGUUCCCAGGUCCUGAUCGGCAUAGGACAUUCACCGGCCCUGUGCACCUCCCAGAAUCCUUGGAGGCUCUGAGGGCAGGAUGGAUGUGAAUCAAAGAACAAAAGUUUGGUGGGGCCAGGUACAGCAGCUCAAGCCUGUAGUCCCAGCACUUUGGGAGGCUCAGGCAGGCAGAUGGCUUGAGUCCAGGAGUUCAAGACCAGCCUGGGCAACACAGUGGGUCCCUGUCUCAAAAAUAAAAUAAAAGGUAAAGAAAAUGGGGCAGGAGCUCCCUUUGUAACCUUUAGUGUGAGUGUAAUGAUGAACAGGUUGAGACUGUGGACUCAAGGCACAUGCCAGGAAGACUAAUAGAGAGGACGCUGUUUGGGAAAAUCCUACCACCAUCCAUGUCCACUUGGACUCAGGGCUGUCUGCCAGGACUGCCUGCUGCACACCUCCAGGGGGCGAGAGUCCCAUCACACCUUGGAGAUGGGCUCCAGGGGGAGCUGCUUACACAGACUGCCAGUGAGCAGCUGCCAGUCCAGCCGAGCAGAUUAAACCAGGGAGCAAGAAGUGCCAGCAUGGGCCACAUACCCCAAGUAUGGGGGAGGGUCACAGGUGGCGGAGGAGGGCACCAGGCAGGGCACACCCGGGGAGGGAGCAGCAAGGCUUCCAGGAGAAACUGAGGUUUGAGUUGACAACCAGAGAUUGAUCAUGGUUGCAGUGACUAGGAGAGGGUGACAUGGAGGAUGGAGAGCUUGGACAGGAGUUGAUUUUUAAACCACAAAGGAAUUCAGUGUUGCCAUGAUCUCAGGCAUUGAACAAUAAACCGCAGUGUCCUCCUGAGCUCCUGUCUCAUUCUCCCCGGCAGCCAUGUGGGCAGCGAGUCCCAGCAGUCCACCUUCCUGUUCUGUCCAGCAUCUGCCCCCUCCUGGCCCACCCCCACCAAGCCCCAGGCCCCCUCUCCUUGGACCCGCUUCCACCCUUCCACCUGUCCUCCGCAGCCAGCAAGGACCCAGUCGGCCCUCAGUGACACCCUGUCUCUCUUCUGCGCGGAUGGGCACCUCGGGGCUCCCGCCUCACUGGAGGUAAAAUCUAGCAAAUCACUGUAAUUGUAAUUUUUAAAUCCAAUAUAUUCUUUCAUGGAAGCCACAGAUGCGUUAAACUGAUCCAAAGACAGCUUAUAAAAGGCAAUGUAAUCGGAGGCUGGACGUGGUGGCUCAUGCCUGUAAUCCCAGCACUUUGGGAGGCUGAGGCGGGUGGAUCCCUUGAGUCCAGGAGUUCAAGACCAGCCUAGGCAACAAGGUGAAACGCUGUCUCCACCAAAAUACAAAAAUUAGCCUGGCAUGGUGGUGCACGCCUAUAGUCCCAGCUACUUGGGAGGCUGAGGUGGGAGGAUCACUUGAGCCCAGGAGGCAGAGGUUGCAUCGAGUCGAGAUCGUACCACUGCACUCCAGCCUGGGUGACAAAGUGAGACCCCAUCUCAAAAAAAAUAAAAAAUAAAAGGCAAUAUAAUCUUAUUUAUUGACUUGUGGCAUAUUUUAACACUAUCGCUAUGUGAAUUAACG
This 3321-nucleotide long non-coding RNA is filed under the name Homo sapiens (human). RNAcentral's name for it is "HSALNT0156458". The record is from RNAcentral. Lineage: Eukaryota; Metazoa; Chordata; Mammalia; Primates; Hominidae.